GGCUUCGUAGCUCAGCUGGUAGAGCCCUUGCCAUGUACAGGCAUGGUGUUUCUGUCGCUGAUUCGAAUCCAGCCGAAGCCC
This 81-nucleotide transfer RNA is filed under the name Paragonimus heterotremus. RNAcentral's name for it is "tRNA-Tyr". It matches the Rfam family "tRNA". From Rfam's summary of the family: Transfer RNA (tRNA) molecules are approximately 80 nucleotides in length. Their secondary structure includes four short double-helical elements and three loops (D, anti-codon, and T loops). Further hydrogen bonds mediate the characteristic L-shaped molecular structure. tRNAs have two regions of fundamental functional importance: the anti-codon, which is responsible for specific mRNA codon recognition, and the 3' end, to which the tRNAs corresponding amino acid is attached (by aminoacyl-tRNA synthetases). tRNAs cope with the degeneracy of the genetic code in two manners: having more than one tRNA (with a specific anti-codon) for a particular amino acid; and 'wobble' base-pairing, i.e. permitting non-standard base-pairing at the 3rd anti-codon position. Lineage: Eukaryota; Metazoa; Platyhelminthes; Trematoda; Plagiorchiida; Troglotrematidae. The record is from RNAcentral.